This 492-nucleotide ribosomal RNA is filed under the name uncultured bacterium. Its description in RNAcentral is "partial 16S ribosomal RNA". It matches the Rfam family "Bacterial small subunit ribosomal RNA", at positions 29 to 507 of the family's 1533-position model. The record is from RNAcentral.
AUUGAACGCUGGCGGCAUGCUUUACACAUGCAAGUCGAACGGUAACAGGCCUUCGGGUGCUGACGAGUGGCGAACGGGUGAGUAAUGCAUCGGAACGUACCCAGAGGUGGGGGAUAACGCAGCGAAAGCUGUGCUAAUACCUCAUGUGAUCUGAGGAUGAAAGCGGGGGACCGAGCAGCAAUGUUUGGCCUCGCGCCUUUGGAGCGGCCGAUGUCGGAUUAGCCAGUUGGUGGGGUAAAGGCCUACCAAGGCGACGAUCCGUAGCUGGUCUGAGAGGACGACCAGCCACACUGGGACUGAGACACGGCCCAGACUCCUACGGGAGGCAGCAGUGGGGAAUUUUGGACAAUGGGCGCAAGCCUGAUCCAGCAAUGCCGCGUGCGGGAAGAAGGCCUUCGGGUUGUAAACCGCUUUUGGCAGGAACGAAACGGUGUCCGCUAAUACCGGGCGCUAAUGACGGUACCUGCAGAAUAAGCACCGGCUAACUACGUG